RNAcentral lists this unclassified non-coding RNA (227 nucleotides) under Hevea brasiliensis (rubber tree). The record is from RNAcentral. Lineage: Eukaryota; Viridiplantae; Streptophyta; Magnoliopsida; Malpighiales; Euphorbiaceae.
ACUGAAUUUACACAGGAAUCUGUGGUAACCACUAUAGUAAAACUUUGCCUAAAGAGUUUGCAAGAAUUUGUCAGACUCCAGACUUUCAACCGGAGUGGUUUUCAGCAAAUUCAGUUGGAUAUUCAGUUCCUAAGGGCUCCUCUAAAGGAAACCGUUGAAGAUGAAGCAGCCAUUGACUUUUUGCUCGAUGAGGUAAUUGUUGGCACUUCAGAACGUUGUCUCGACCG